Molecule: ribosomal RNA, 729 nt
Filed under: Bacillus thuringiensis
Lineage: Bacteria; Bacillati; Bacillota; Bacilli; Caryophanales; Bacillaceae
Description: bacterial SSU rRNA
Rfam family: Bacterial small subunit ribosomal RNA
Source: RNAcentral
GCUUGCUCUUCUGAAGUUAGCGGCGGACGGGUGAGUAACACGUGGGUAACCUGCCCAUAAGACUGGGAUAACUCCGGGAAUCCGGGGCUAAUACCGGAUAACAUUUUGAACUGCAUGGUUCGAAAUUGAAAGGCGGCUUCGGCUGUCACUUAUGGAUGGACCCGCGUCGCAUUAGCUAGUUGGUGAGGUAACGGCUCACCAAGGCAACGAUGCGUAGCCGACCUGAGAGGGUGAUCGGCCACACUGGGACUGAGACACGGCCCAGACUCCUACGGGAGGCAGCAGUAGGGAAUCUUCCGCAAUGGACGAAAGUCUGACGGAGCAACGCCGCGUGAGUGAUGAAGGCUUUCGGGUCGUAAAACUCUGUUGUUAGGGAAGAACAAGUGCUAGUUGAAUAAGCUGGCACCUUGACGGUACCUAACCAGAAAGCCACGGCUAACUACGUGCCAGCAGCCGCGGUAAUACCGUAGGUGGCAAGCGUUAUCCGGAAUUAUUGGGCGUAAAGCGCGCGCAGGUGGUUUCUUAAGUCUGAUGUGAAAGCCCACGGCUCAACCNGUGGAGGGUCAUUGGAAACUGGGAGACUUGAGUGCAGAAGAGGAAAGUGGAAUUCCAUGUGUAGCGGGUGAAAUGCNUAGAGAUAUGGAGGAACACCAGUGGCCGAAGGCGACUUUUCUGGUCUGUAACUGACACUGAGGCGCGAAAGCGUGGGGAGCAAACAGGAUUAGAUAC